CAUUAUGAGUUGUAAUUACCGACACUAUUAUAUAUAGUAUCAAAUACAAUGAGAAAGGCAUCAAGCCAGAAUUUAUAACAUGGUAUCAGAAGGUUCGAUCAAACCAAACCUUUGAAAUUGUGUUAUCUUGGGCUUGUCCGGCGACACCCACUGUGUCGUUCUCGAAAUUGUCUCUUCCAUUCCGGUUCAUUGUCGGAUUCGUUCUGUUGUUUGCGGUUUCGUGCCGUAUCUUGAUUUUGUCUGGGUGAUUCUCGAUUUGAAGGAUUGAGAUCGUGAUUCUCGAUAUUGUUCUGGAUUGUCGUUACUUG
RNAcentral lists this long non-coding RNA (308 nucleotides) under Lathyrus oleraceus (garden pea). RNAcentral describes it as "Pisum sativum (pea) long non-coding RNA (PSAT_LNC003432)". The record is from RNAcentral. Lineage: Eukaryota; Viridiplantae; Streptophyta; Magnoliopsida; Fabales; Fabaceae.